RNAcentral lists this ribosomal RNA (468 nucleotides) under uncultured bacterium. Its description in RNAcentral is "partial 16S ribosomal RNA". It matches the Rfam family "Bacterial small subunit ribosomal RNA", at positions 28 to 507 of the family's 1533-position model. The record is from RNAcentral.
GACGAACGCUGGCGGCGUGCUUAACACAUGCAAGUCGAACGGAAAGGCCCUGCUUUUGUGGGGUGCUCGAGUGGCGAACGGGUGAGUAACACGUGAGUAACCUGCCCUUGACUUUGGGAUAACUUCAGGAAACUGGGGCUAAUACCGGAUAGGAGCUCCUGCUGCAUGGUGGGGGUUGGAAAGUUUCGGCGGUUGGGGAUGGACUCGCGGCUUAUCAGCUUGUUGGUGGGGUAGUGGCUUACCAAGGCUUUGACGGGUAGCCGGCCUGAGAGGGUGACCGGCGACAUUGGGACUGCGAUACGGCCCAGACUCCUACGGGAGGCAGCAGUGGGGAAUAUUGCACAAUGGGCGGAAGCCUGAUGCAGCAACGCCGCGUGCGGGAUGACGGCCUUCGGGUUGUAAACCGCUUUCGCCUGUGACGAAGCGUGAGUGACGGUAAUGGGUAAAGAAGCACCGGCUAACUACGUG